AUGGUCUUCGGUGUUUCGCAGGCAUCAGAUGUAGCUGAGUGCACGAAUGACAGUUUGCCCUUUGAAAUAACGUAUGCUGUACAGAAGCUUGGAAUGCAUUCAGAGAUUUUGGUUGCAGUCUUGCUUCCUUUGAGCUUCCUGCAAGUAGUUAACAAUGAUAACCACAUGAUUAGGAUAGAUAGGCAUUUCUCAUCCUAUGCUGUACUAGGCUUUUUCUUUCAUAAUAAAGAAUUGUUCAUCUUAAAUUCUCUGCAAAUUUCCAUAUUGAACUUGCAAUCAAGUACUCCCUCCGUCCGGAAAUACUUGUCAUCGAAAUGA
This 318-nucleotide ribosomal RNA is filed under the name Triticum aestivum (bread wheat). Its description in RNAcentral is "partial small subunit ribosomal RNA". The record is from RNAcentral. Lineage: Eukaryota; Viridiplantae; Streptophyta; Magnoliopsida; Poales; Poaceae.